Molecule: ribosomal RNA, 576 nt
Filed under: uncultured Gammaproteobacteria bacterium
Lineage: Bacteria; Pseudomonadati; Pseudomonadota; Gammaproteobacteria
Description: bacterial SSU rRNA
Rfam family: Bacterial small subunit ribosomal RNA
Source: RNAcentral
ACGGGUGAGAAACGCGUAGGAAUCUGCCUUAUAGAGGGGGACAACUAGAGGAAACUCUAGCUAAUACCGCAUAAUGUCUGCGGACCAAAGGCUGGGUAGCAAUACCUGGCGCUAUAAGAGGAGCCUGCGUCCGAUUAGCUAGUUGGUAGGGUAAAGGCCUACCAAGGCGAUGAUCGGUAGCUGGUCUGAGAGGAUGAUCAGCCACACUGGGACUGAGACACGGCCCAGACUCCUACGGGAGGCAGCAGUGGGGAAUAUUGGACAAUGGGGGCAACCCUGAUCCAGCAAUACCGCGUGUGUGAAGAAGGCCUUCGGGUUGUAAAGCACUUUAGGUUGGGAAGAAGGUGUAUUGUUUAAGAGAUGAUACAUUUGACGGUACCGACAGAAUAAGCACCGGCUAACUCUGUGCCAGCAGCCGCGGUAAUACAGAGGGUGCAAGCGUUAAUCGGAGUUACUGGGCGUAAAGGGCGCGUAGGCGGUUAUUUAAGUGAGAUGUGAAAUCCCUGGGCUUAACCUAGGAACUGCAUCUUAUACUGGGUAACUGGAGUACUGUAGAGGGUAGUGGAAUUUCCGGUG